UUGUGGAGUACGGCUNCCANGCUUCGACGGGUAGCCGGCCUGANAGGUGACCGGCCCACUGGGACUGAGACACGGCCCAGACUCCCACGGGAGGCAGCAGUGGGGAAUAUUGGACAAUGGGCGAAAGCCUGAUCCAGCAACGCCGCGUGAGGGAUGACGGCCUUCGGGUUGUAAACCUCUUUCAGUACCGACGAAGGGUGGUGACGGUAGGUACAGAAGAAGGACCGGCCAACUACGUGCCAGCAGCCGCGGUAAUACGUAGGGUCCGAGCGUUGUCCGGAAUUAUUGGGCGUAAAGGGCUCGUAGGCGGUUUGUUGCGUCGGGAGUGAAAACUUACAGCUUAACUGUGAGCGUGCUUCCGAUACGGGCAGACUUGAGGUAUUCAGGGGAGAACGGAAUUCCUGGUGUAGCGGUGAAAUGCGCAGAUAUCAGGAGGAACACCGGUGGCGAAGGCGGUUCUCUGGGAAUAUCCUGACGCUGAGGAGCGAAAGUGUGGGGAGCGAACAGGAUUAGAUACCCUGGUAGUCCACACCGUAAACGUUGGGCGCUAGGUGUGGGAUCCAUU
This 565-nucleotide ribosomal RNA is filed under the name uncultured Nocardioides sp. RNAcentral's name for it is "bacterial SSU rRNA". It matches the Rfam family "Bacterial small subunit ribosomal RNA", at positions 246 to 833 of the family's 1533-position model. The record is from RNAcentral. Lineage: Bacteria; Bacillati; Actinomycetota; Actinomycetes; Propionibacteriales; Nocardioidaceae.